GGAUGAACGCUGGCGGCGUGCCUAAUACAUGCAAGUCGAGCGAACAGACGAGGAGCUUGCUCCUCUGACGUUAGCGGCGGACGGGUGAGUAACACGUGGAUAACCUACCUAUAAGACUGGGAUAACUUCGGGAAACCGGAGCUAAUACCGGAUAAUAUAUUGAACCGCAUGGUUCAAUAGUGAAAGACGGUUUUGCUGUCACUUAUAGAUGGAUCCGCGCCGCAUUAGCUAGUUGGUAAGGUAACGGCUUACCAAGGCGACGAUGCGUAGCCGACCUGAGAGGGUGAUCGGCCACACUGGAACUGAGACACGGUCCAGACUCCUACGGGAGGCAGCAGUAGGGAAUCUUCCGCAAUGGGCGAAAGCCUGGCGGAGCAACGCCGCGUGAGUGAUGAAGGUCUUCGGAUCGUAAAACUCUGUUAUUAGGGAAGAACAAAUGUGUAAGUAACUAUGCACGUCUUGACGGUACCUAAUCAGAAAGCCACGGCUAACUACGUG
This 498-nucleotide ribosomal RNA is filed under the name uncultured bacterium. Its description in RNAcentral is "partial 16S ribosomal RNA". It matches the Rfam family "Bacterial small subunit ribosomal RNA", at positions 27 to 507 of the family's 1533-position model. The record is from RNAcentral.